GAUGAACGCUGGCGGCGUGCUUAACACAUGCAAGUCGAACGAAGCACUCUAUUUGAUUUUCUUCGGAAAUGAAGAUUUUGUGACUGAGUGGCGGACGGGUGAGUAACGCGUGGGUAACCUGCCUCAUACAGGGGGAUAACAGUUGGAAACGACUGCUAAUACCGCAUAAGCGCACAGGAUCGCAUGGUCCGGUGUGAAAAACUCCGGUGGUAUGGGAUGGACCCGCGUCUGAUUAGCCAGUUGGCAGGGUAACGGCCUACCAAAGCGACGAUCAGUAGCCGACCUGAGAGGGUGACCGGCCACAUUGGGACUGAGACACGGCCCAAACUCCUACGGGAGGCAGCAGUGGGGAAUAUUGCACAAUGGGGGAAACCCUGAUGCAGCGACGCCGCGUGAGCGAAGAAGUAUUUCGGUAUGUAAAGCUCUAUCAGCAGGGAAGAAGAAUGACGGU
RNAcentral lists this ribosomal RNA (451 nucleotides) under uncultured bacterium. Its description in RNAcentral is "bacterial SSU rRNA". It matches the Rfam family "Bacterial small subunit ribosomal RNA", at positions 28 to 476 of the family's 1533-position model. The record is from RNAcentral.